UNGGAGAGGAAAGUGGAAUUCCUAGUGUAGCGGUGAAAUGCGUAGAUAUUAGGAAGANCACCAGUGGCGAAGGCGACUUUCUGGACGAAAACUGACGCUGAGGCGCGAAAGCCAGGGGAGCGAACGGGAUUAGAUACCCCGGUAGUCCUGGCCAUAAACGAUGGGUACUAGGUGUAGGAGGUAUCGACCCCUUCUGUGCCGGAGUUAACGCAAUAAGUACCCCGCCUGGGGAGUACGACCGCAAGGUUGAAACUCAAAGGAAUUGACGGGGGCCCGCACAAGCGGUGGAGUAUGUGGUUUAAUUCGACGCAACGCGAAGAACCUUACCAGGUCUUGACAUUGAUGGACAGAACUAGAGAUAGUUCCUCUUCUUCGGAAGCCAGAAAACAGGUGGUGCACGGUUGUCGUCAGCUCGUGUCGUGAGAUGUUGGGUNNNNNNNNNCNACGAGCGCAACCCCUAUCUUAUGUUGCCAGCACGUAAUGGUGGGAACUCAUGAGAGACUGCCGCAGACAAUGCGGAGGAAGGCGGGGAUGACGUCAAAUCAUCAUGCCCCUUAUGACCUGGGCUACAUACGUACUACAAUGGGAGUUAAUAGACGGAAGCGAGAUCGCGAGAUGGAGCAAACCCGAGAAACACUCUCUCAGUUCGGAUCGUAGGCUGCAACUCGCCUACGUGAAGUCGGAAUCGCUAGUAAUCGCAGGUCAGCAUACUGCGGUGAAUACGUUCCCGGGCCU
Molecule: ribosomal RNA, 735 nt
Filed under: uncultured bacterium
Lineage: Bacteria
Description: bacterial SSU rRNA
Rfam family: Bacterial small subunit ribosomal RNA
Source: RNAcentral